GGGCCCGCACAAGCGGUGGAGCAUGUGGUUUAAUUCGAUGAUACGCGAGGAACCUUACCAGGGCUUAAAUGUAAGUUGCAUUAGUUAGAGAUAGCUAUUUCUUCGGACUACUUACAAGGUGCUGCAUGGUUGUCGUCAGCUCGUGCCGUGAGGUGUCAGGUUAAGUCCUAUAACGAGCGCAACCCCUGUUGUUAGUUGCCAUCGAGUCAUGUCGGGAACUCUAACAAGACUGCCGGUGCAAACCGUGAGGAAGGUGGGGAUGACGUCAAAUCAUCACGGCCCUUACGUCCUGGGCUACACACGUGCUACAAUGGCCGGUACAGAGAGCAGCCACUACGCGAGUAGGCGCGAAUCUUCAAAGCCGGUCUCAGUUCGGAUUGAAGUCUGCAACUCGACUUCAUG
Molecule: ribosomal RNA, 402 nt
Filed under: uncultured bacterium
Lineage: Bacteria
Description: bacterial SSU rRNA
Rfam family: Bacterial small subunit ribosomal RNA
Source: RNAcentral